UGGGGAAUUUUGGACAAUGGGCGAAAGCCUGAUCCAGCAAUGCCGCGUGUGUGAAGAAGGCCUUCGGGUUGUAAAGCACUUUUGUCCGGAAAGAAAUGGCUCUGGUUAAUACCUGGGGUCGAUGACGGUACCGGAAGAAUAAGGACCGGCUAACUACGUGCCAGCAGCCGCGGUAAUACGUAGGGUCCAAGCGUUAAUCGGAAUUACUGGGCGUAAAGCGUGCGCAGGCGGUUGUGCAAGACCGAUGUGAAAUCCCCGAGCUUAACUUGGGAAUUGCAUUGGUGACUGCACGGCUAGAGUGUGUCAGAGGGGGGUAGAAUCCCACGUGUAGCAGUGAAAUGCGUAGAGAUGUGGAGGAAUACCGAUGGGCGAAGGCAGCCCCCUGGGCCAAAUACUGACGCUCAUGCACGAAAGCGUGGGGGAGCAAACAGGAUUAGAUACCCUGGUAGUCCACGCCCUAAACGAUGUCAACUAGUUGUUGGGGAUUCAUUUCCUUAGUAACGUAGCUAACGCGUGAAGUUGACCGCCU
RNAcentral lists this ribosomal RNA (529 nucleotides) under uncultured bacterium. Its description in RNAcentral is "partial 16S ribosomal RNA". It matches the Rfam family "Bacterial small subunit ribosomal RNA", at positions 355 to 874 of the family's 1533-position model. The record is from RNAcentral.